RNAcentral lists this ribosomal RNA (496 nucleotides) under uncultured bacterium. RNAcentral describes it as "partial 16S ribosomal RNA". It matches the Rfam family "Bacterial small subunit ribosomal RNA", at positions 28 to 506 of the family's 1533-position model. The record is from RNAcentral.
GACGAACGCUGGCGGCGUGCCUAAUACAUGCAAGUUGAGCGAUGAAGAUUGGUGCUUGCACCAAUUUGAAGAGCAGCGAACGGGUGAGUAACGCGUGGGGAAUCUGCCUUUGAGCGGGGGACAACAUUUGGAAACGAAUGCUAAUACCGCAUAACAACUUUAAACAUAAGUUUUAAGUUUGAAAGAUGCAAUUGCAUCACUCAAAGAUGAUCCCGCGUUGUAUUAGCUAGUUGGUGAGGUAAAGUCUCACCAAGGCGAUGAUACAUAGCCGACCUGAGAGGGUGAUCGGCCACAUUGGGACUGAGACACGGCCCAAACUCCUACGGGAGGCAGCAGUAGGGAAUCUUCGGCAAUGGACGAAAGUCUGACCGAGCAACGCCGCGUGAGUGAAGAAGGUUUUCGGAUCGUAAAACUCUGUUGGUAGAGAAGAACGUUGGUGAGAGUGGAAAGCUCAUCAAGUGACGGUAACUACCCAGAAAAGGACGGCUAACUACGU